RNAcentral lists this unclassified non-coding RNA (369 nucleotides) under uncultured fungus. RNAcentral describes it as "partial contains small subunit ribosomal RNA, internal transcribed spacer 1, and 5.8S ribosomal RNA". The stretch from base 1 to 73 matches the Rfam family "Eukaryotic small subunit ribosomal RNA", at positions 1759 to 1831 of the family's 1831-position model. Lineage: Eukaryota; Fungi. The record is from RNAcentral.
GCAAACUUGGUCAUUUAGAGGAAGUAAAAGUCGUAACAAGGUUUCCGUAGGUGAACCUGCGGAAGGAUCAUUAUUGAAUGAAUUUAUGGAGCUGUUGCAGGUUUCACGGCCUUGCACGCUUCAAUUCUUUCAACUUCAUUUCCUGUGCACCUUUGCAUAAAUCUGAGAACUGUGGAGUAUAUGUCGCCUUCUAAAGUGCGGAUGGAAAGGAUGCCUAUGUGCUCCUUUUGUUCUCUCUCAGUUUGGAUUUGUGAUUAUAUUAAUUCUGUAUGUUUAGAAUGGUAUUACAUUAUGGGACUUUGUCCUUUAAUAACAAAUACAACUUUCAACAACGGAUCUCUUGGCUCUCGCAUCGAUGAAGAACGCAGC